UUUAGGCACUGGAAGGGGCUCUGAGCUCUCCUUGGAGCCUUCCCUUCUCCAGGGGAACAUUCCCAGCUCUCCCAGCCUAGCCCUGACGGACAUUUGCCAACCAGCACUGAUUUCAUGGAAACUCUUCCCGAGUCUUUCGCACUUGGGAAAAGAAGGAGAGCCCAGAAUGAAUCUCCUCAACCACAUCCCAUCCCUCAGGAGCAGGAAGUGAUCUCCACCUUCUGUUUCCAAUCAAUCAGACGUUGGUCUGUGAGACACUUGGAAACUCCAAUCCAAAGGAUAAACCCCCGACUGGAAUUCCCAUAAAACCAACGUGAUUAAUCCAGGUUUUACAAGAGGAACAACUGUCCCAGCUGGAAGCAGGUGGGAUGGGCAUUCCCAGCUAUUGUCCCAGCCGGGUGACCGUGGUCGGGGAUCCGAUGGCCAUCCCAGGAGAGAUGGACACACCCGUGGUCACUCCUCCUGGCCGUGGUGACAAUCCCUGCCCAGCUGUGGACAGGAGGGACAAACAUGGGGACAGUCAUCUUUGGGAACGCCACGGCACAACAGCCUGGCAGGAGCCAGUGACACAGCCCAGAAUUCCCUCAGCUUCCCAGGCCAGCUCCUCAUGGAUCCCCCCCUCUGCCACACCGACAUUCCCAGGGGAACACACUCGGGAAUUCUGGGAACGGGGGGUACGGACAGCGAGGGAAGAGGAUGGAGGAGCAGAACUGUGGGAAGCCACAUGGGAAGAGAGAAGGGCGGGGGCCACUCAUAGUGACAGCCCUGUCACCGCUCGCUCUGGAGCGGCAAUAAACUCCUAAAUCCCAGUAAAUGGGAAAUGCAGGGAUUCACAGUGGAGGCAGUGGGGGCCAGCUGGGGAGAUCCAGGGCAUAGGGCAGGUGGUGGGAAUGGGGCAGCCAGAGGAGCAACCAGGAAUGCUGAGCCUCUGGAGCAGCCACCACUGGAGGAAGCCACCAGGCCAGGAGGAGCCUGUCCCCACUCCAGGGACACCUGCUCCAGCAUGAUAGACAUCCACAGACUGACUGCUCUGCUGUGUGAAGAUCCUGGUGCCGAGCUACUGAAAAGGGGAUGAAUUCCCAGCGAUUUGGGUCACCCCUGUGCUCCAUCCGAGGGCUUCAGUGAUCCGCUCCAUCCCAGUGGAUCACCCCGGGAAUAUUCAGUGUGUUCCUCCCCCGUGCAGGUGAGUCUGACGGAGCCUCAAACUGUCACUCAAAGCUCAGAUCAAAAGUUUUGGGAGAAUCCCGAGCAGCCAACUCUGACAAGAUACAAAUCCCAGGCGUGACCCACAAAGCCAGAAAAGGGAAAGACUUGGGGAGAAUUCCGGGUUUAAGCCUGGUCAGUGCCGAGUCGAUGGUGCUGCUGCCACAAGAUCCCUGUGGAAAGGAGGGAUCGCCCUGGGACUGAGGGUGGCUGCUCUGGGUGACACCAGGAUGUGGCACUGGACUCCAAGCUGCCCAAAUGGAAGGGUUUGGGUGUCUCUGGACACCGGGAGCAGUGUCCCCAAAACCUGGCAGGGACACAGCCCCGGGAAGGGCCGGCACAGCCAUGGUCCCUGUGGUGCCCAUUCCAAAAUCCACGUGAGCCCAACAGGGAUAACCUGCUCACAGCACCCUGCCUGCAGUGUCCAGCGCUGCCCUGGGACCCCCAGGAUUCCCGGGAUCCCCAGUCCUGCCACCAGUCCCAAAGCCACAUCUCCAUCAGCCCUUGGAGCCAGCGUUUGGCUCCUUCCCUGCCCCCUUGGAGCCCCCAAAUCCCUCCAGGCUGUCAGGACUCAGGUUGGAAUUUCACCCCCUUCAUCCAGCUCCCCAUGGAAAACAGGGAGGUUUGAGGAGCAGGCAGGGGGCUCCAGCCCCCACAGACCUGCAUGGACACACACUCGGACCCCGCAGGGGUGGGCAAAAAAGGCUCCAGGCUGGCCAGUUUUCCCGAGCUGCUCCCUCCGCAGCUAAAUCCCUUUGGCCACAGCCCAAAUCCCACCGGCUCCGGGCCUGGCGUAUCCCACAGCGGGCAGGACACGGUGCCCACGGAGGGUCUGGGGGUCCCAUGGAGCGGUGGGAAGGCUCUGCCCACCCCGGCUCCAUGCCGGAGUCGCUGCCGAGUUGGCACAGCCAGGCCCAAACGCGCUGGCAGUGCCCGGCGGGGUCUGAGACACAAUGUCACCGCGGCGGCGGCCACAGAGGGACACAGCGACAGGGAGAGAAAGUCCCGGGCAAGGCCUGGCCCGGGGGGCCGCUGGCACCGCACAGCCCAGGGGUAGCUGCAAUACGGAAAAACCUGGAAGCGCUUGCCAGGCCCGCGGAAGCUCGGGAUCGCUCCGUGCCGCCUGGAAAACCGGCCCGGAGGGAGGGGAGCCCGCGGCAGGCAGGAAAACACGCCGGGAUCUUUGUGCUGAGCAGCCCCGGCAAGGCUGCGCCGGAGCCCCGGGAAGGGGCUGAGCCGGAGCGGCCGCUCGGCCGCCGGGGUAAUUAAUCGCGGUAAUGAAUUGGGGUAAUCACCUACACGGGCAGGUAAGUCCGCCCAAAAGCGCCGGCCCCGGCGCAAGCCGGAGCAUCCACCUCCCCUCCCGGCAUUAUUGUCAGCGAGGGAGGUGCCACAUUCCAGGGAUACGGGAGCGCAGGGAGCACAAUCGAGAUUUCCCUACAAAACCCAGCUAUUUUCGCUGCGACAGCGUCGCGAUCUGUCGCGAUAGGACCCGGCAGAGCCAGGAGCUGUUGAGUCAGCUCCCCCCUCCCCACCCCCGCCCUUACCCGGCCGGACGCGUGCCUCCUGCCCUGGGCCAUGCUGCCGCGCUCCAGAGAUUCCCGAUUCGCAGCCAGCAGCUCUCCCAGCUCACGGCCGGCAGCAUCCAGCGGCGCUUCCCAGCGUCCCGGCCGAUCCCAGCAUCCCCGCGCCCCGCGCCCCCCCCCUCCCCCGAGGCUCUGCCGGGCGGUACGAGAGGGAGGGAAGCCCUUUUCUGGGCGAGGAUGCUCCGAGGGAGGGAUACAGAGAAUUCCAGCGCUGCCGAUGGAGCCACUCUGCGCCAGUGCCGCUCCAGACUUGUCACCGCGCCGGCGGCUCGCUGGGUCCUAACGCUCCCCGCAGGAGCCACCGGCACGGCCACCCCGCGACACUCCGGGCCUCCUCCCGCUCGCCCUGCGGUGGGCACCGGGCAGGGACACCCCAAAUUGUGCCCGCCGUGACGCCAGACAAGGCUUGUCCCGCUUGCUCUUCCCUUCAUGGAGAAAUUUUGAGGAAAAACAGCCCUGCCCUAGAGCAGGGUUUGUCCCAACUCUCCAGGUACAGCUGCUCCCUCGGGACCUCAUUCCAGGUGAGGCGGAUCCCGGCGCUAGGACCCGGCGCUGGAGCCUGCGCCCUGCACGGCUGCACCGCGGCACCGCAGCCCCCGCAGCCCCCUCCCAGCCCCGACCCCGCGGGAUCAUCCCGGCGCAUUCCCGGCUCCGGCGUGGGAUCGAUGCUCCGUAGCCACAGCAACGCCCGGACACGCCGAGGAUGCGGCGGGAGCUGCCCUGCAGAGCCACCCAGCUCCACGUUUGGGAAAAGCACGAAGGAAUCGCUCCAAGGUCACCUGGCCAGGUGACCAAACACCCAGCACAGAACCUGCCCUGGGAGAGCCACGCAUUCCCGGAAUUCCCGACGAGCUCGCAUGGACCCGGAAUUUUUAAAAACCCAACGUGGAAACCCAAAAAUGCUGCAUGAGAUCGGGGCCCAUCCGCAGUGCAACAGCCCAGGAACGGCGCUGGGAGGUCCCUCCUGACAGGAAUUCGGGAAUUCCGGAAUUCCCUGAGCAGCCUGGAGUGAGGGAUGGCACCAGCGGGAUACUGGGACACAGCUCCGGGUGACCCUGGGAGCAGCACACCUCACACAGAAUUCCCAGAGCACACAAUCCCCUGCUGGAAGGUGCCGCCGCGCUUUCCCUGGAUCCAGGACCGGGAAUAUUCCUCCAUGCCAUUCUUAAUGAGCUCCCCUCAAUUAUCCCGGCCAGUAAUUACCCCCGGGCUGAGUCAUUCCCACCUCGCUUCUGGAUCAAACCUUCCCAAUCCCGAGGGGGAAGCGCCGCCCUCAUCCCAUCACCGACCACCCCUCACACAGAACCCAAACACCCCUAAAUACCCCUGCAGACCCCCCCUAAAUCCCCCCAAACACCCCCACAGACGCCUCCACAGCCCCAUAAACUGCUCACAGAGCCCAAACACCCCCACAGACCCCCCCAUACACCCCUAAAUCACCCCAAACACCCCCAAAAUCACCUCCUUACCCACGCACAGACCCCCACAAACCCCUUUAGACCCCCACAAACCCCUCACGCAGACCCCCGAGCACCCCUAUACAACACAUACACCCCCGCAGACACCCCCAGACCCCCACAAAUAUUUCACGCAGACCCCAAACCCCUUCAGAUCGCUCACACAGCCCUCCAUAAACCCCGAAACCUUCUCGUACCCCCCCUAAAUCCCCAUAAACCCCUCACACAGAUCCCCACACACCCCUUCACACCACCCCAGACCCACAUACA
Molecule: long non-coding RNA, 4516 nt
Organism: Corvus hawaiiensis (hawaiian crow)
Lineage: Eukaryota; Metazoa; Chordata; Aves; Passeriformes; Corvidae
Exons: 5
Source: RefSeq, a predicted model, not a curated record